Molecule: RNA transcript, 2142 nt
Organism: Physeter macrocephalus (sperm whale)
Lineage: Eukaryota; Metazoa; Chordata; Mammalia; Artiodactyla; Physeteridae
Gene: RMND1
Gene name: required for meiotic nuclear division 1 homolog
Exons: 13
Source: RefSeq, a predicted model, not a curated record
UCGGUGUUGGGACUGGCUGGGGGAGUGCGGGGCUGCAGCCAGCACUCUGUCUCUUGCCUGCGGCAGAGCCGCCGGAGCUUGCUCCUUUGGCGCGUCUGUUCUUCCCGCCGAGAGCUUGAGAUGUGGUAAUGUCAGCCAGACUUCUCAGAUCCUGGGCCAGAUCUCACUAUAUUUUAUCAAAAGCGCGUCAGUGCCAAAGGCUUGUUCAUCGAACAUUAAAACCACUUAAGGAAUUUGAGACCACAACAUGCAACACCCUGGCAAGAAGUCAGAACGUGAAUUUGUUCUUUCCUGAUACAGCAGCUGUUGGUUUGAAUAAGUCCCAGGUCCUGGAAAUGAACCGGAAAAUAUCAAAUACAAACGUACUCUCUCCAUUAAAUACCGCACGUUACCAAGAUGAAAAAGAGCACCUUCCAACUAGGAGCUCCCUUGGUACUCAUGGGAAGGUGACUCACAAACCAAAUCUGUUAGGUUUUAAGUGGUUUAUAAAAAUACUUAAGAGACAUUCCUCAUCUGUGUCAACGGAAACACUUGUUUCUAAACAAGACUUUCCGCAAAUCAAGAGACCACUGAAAGCAUCAAGGACCAGGCAGCCAUCCAGGACCAACCUUCCAGUUCUGCCUGUGAACAAGGACCUGAUGCACUGUACUGCAUUUGCAACCGCAGAUGAAUACCAUCUUGGAAGUCUCUCUCAAGAUCUGGCCUCCCAUGGAUAUGUUGAAGUAACAAGCUUGCCUAGAGACGCAGCAAAUAUUUUGGUGAUCGGUGUGGAAAGUUCUGCAAAAGAAGGUGAUCCUGGAACGAUAUUCUUCUUCAGGGAAGGAGCUGCUGUCUUCUGGAAUGUGAAAGACAAAACUAUGAAGCAUGUGAUGCAAGUUCUUGAAAAACAUGAAAUUCAGCCCUAUGAAAUUGCAUUGGUACAAUGGGAGAAUGAAGAGCUUAACUACUCAAAAACAGAGGGACAGUCAAAACUUCACAGAGGGGAAAUCAGGUUAAAUUCAGAGCUAGAUUUAGAUGACGCCAUUCUAGAGAAAUUUGCUUUCUCAAAUGCUCUUUGCCUUUCAGUGAAACUGGCUAUCUGGGAAGCAUCACUGGAUAAAUUUGUUGAAUCUAUUCAGUCGAUUCCAGAGGCUUUAAAAGCUGGGAAGAAAGUGAAACUAUCUCAUGAAGAAGUUAUGCAGAAAAUGGGUGAACUCUUUGCCUUAAGACACCAUAUAAACUUGAGUUCAGACUUCUUGAUCACUCCUGAUUUCUACUGGGACAGAGAAAAUCUGGAAGAACUUUAUGAUAAAACUUGUCGGUUCCUCAGCAUUACUCGUAGAGUUAAGGUCAUGAAUGAAAAGCUUCAGCACUGCAUGGAGCUAACAGAUCUGAUGCGCAAUCACCUGACUGAGAAGAGGACGCUCCGCCUGGAAUGGAUGAUUGUCAUCCUUAUCACCAUAGAGGUAAUGUUUGAGCUGGGACGAGUAUUUUUCUGAUUAAGUGACGACCAAAGGAAAAGUGUCAUUGCAAGAUACAUUGAAGUUCUACAAUCAAAAAUAAAUGCUCCACUGUUGAGAUUAUUAGGUACCUGAAAGGACUAUGCAACAAGGACUAUGCAACACGUGGGCACAGAUAGUUUAAGAAUUGCUUUCUAGGGACUUCCCUGGUGGCGCAGUGAUUAAGAAUCCACUUGCCAAUGCAGGGGACAUGGGUUCGAGCCCUGGUCCGGGAAGAUCCCACAUGCCGCAGAGCAACUAAGCUCGAGCACCACAACUACUGAGCCUGCACUUUAGAGCCUGUGAGCCACAACUACUGAAGCCCACGCACCUAGAGCCUGUGCUCCGCGACAAAAGAAGCCACCGCAAUGAGAAGCCCGCACACUGCAACGAAGAGUAGCCCCCGUUCGCUGCAACCAGAGAAAGCCCGCGCGCAGCAACAAAGACCCAACGCAGCCAAGAAAUAAAUUUUUUAAAAAAGAAAACUCAUUUAUUUCUACCUUAAAAACAAAAAAGCUUUCUAGAUCCUCAAGUUCCACAUCAGCACUUUCAUAAAAUCGCUGUGCCUGCACUGUCACCUGUAAGCAGCAUAUCAAGCCUGUUCUCCUUUCCCAUUUUCCCAUCUCACAAUGUACAGAAGGCAUCUCACCCAUCUUCAAUUUUA